This is a long non-coding RNA of Gallus gallus (chicken), 1843 nucleotides long. Lineage: Eukaryota; Metazoa; Chordata; Aves; Galliformes; Phasianidae. The record is from Ensembl.
CUCACACCUGCAGCCAGGCUGCAAGAUUAGCACGCAGAGAACACCUCCCCAGGGAAGAGGGAUUCUCCUCAGUUAAAACUAAAUGAAAUAAAACAACGCCUGAAAACGUGCUGGGAAAUCACCCUGAAAACAAGAAGCACAGCCCCCGAUAAUGGUGAUGGAUGGACAGACAGACGCACCUCCAUCACAGCGCCCAUUCACCCAGCGCCACACAGCAGCCGGUCCAGCAGCAUCCUGGUGCAGAGCUCAACCAGAGAGCAACCAGUUAAUUACCACACCGUCAUUAAGGCCUUCAAGUGUAUGUUUCAUUAGUGCUGCAUAAUAAAAUAAUUGCAGACAUGGGAAGGGAUUUGCCUUUUUCUUUUCCCCUAUGAGAUUGUCCUACAGAGAAGCAGCAUUGCGUGGAGAGCAUCAGUAAGCACAGGGAUGCGCACUGCGAUGGGCACAGGACUGCCCCUCCAGACUGGUUCAGCCCCUGCAACGCGGUGGCGGAGCUGCACGAAGAGGAGCAGCGCUCAGUUCCAACUCCCAAAGGAUAAAGCCUCACCCAACCGCUCGGGGCUGCGGACCAAAGGCACCGUGAGCAUCUCACCCUGAGAUGGGUGGGGGUGAACCUUCCUCAGGAUCGCCGGCAGUGGGCACAUCCUGAAGCUGUCAGUUUGUAACUUUCCCACUGGAAAACGCGGUUCCAGCGCUUCCAGCCCUGCAGCAGCUCAUGCCACAGCUCUUUGAUAAAUGGAUUGAGAGGUUUGCCUGGUUCUGACGGCUCUGCUGUACACACUGCUGAAAUACAAGGCUGUAAUUCCUCACCGCAGCUCUCACAACAGACAUACUCCCUCCAGCAAGAGCACCUGUCCUCACCGCAAUAGAGACGCACAAAGGGCCAGGUUUGCUUUCUGUGUUACACCAGUGUGAAUCAGGAGUCGGUGCACUGACUUCAAUUCGGAAGCAUCAACCUGAACGAGAGGAAACUGUGGCCCUAAUACACAGCCUUUAUGCAGUGCCAGAAGCCAUCGGCCUCCUCCCGGCCCCUCUUGUGUGCCUCAGCCCCAGGACAACGCUCCCGCACCCAGCCACCAGACAAGGAGCUGGGAUGGAGCACAUCUACCAUGGACAGCAGCUGUGCAAGGAGACACAUGGCCAAAGCAAUGGUGCACAGCCUAUUUUGAAGCUGUACAGUGACAGGGCGGUGCACCAGGGACUGACCUGGAGUUCUCAGCAUCACUGGUGGGAGCCAUAGACACUGAUGUUUCAUGUCACUGCAAAAAUCUGAUGUUUUCUUCUGUUUGCUGUCAGCCAUCAGCCUGUCUCUAACAUUUCUGCAGCAAGGACCAGCAGCCAAGAGGGGCUCAAGCAGCAGCUGGGAGGCUGCAAUUGCUCCUUCCUCACCGUUUUAACCCAACUUCCCUUCCUGAGGUCCCAUCUGGCUUCUGCCUGCUCCUGGGUUUGGUUCAGCACUGCAGGGUGCAGGCUGGAAGCACCGGGGCUGCCUUCCUCCCGGCUGAGCAUGAGAGCAUCUCGCUCCCACUGGUGUUUUGAUGUUGCUAUGGUGAUUGCCAAGCGAUAAAUCUUGAUUAUUAUUGCCCAGCGCUUUAAGCCGCAAGCGAAAGCAACCUUUCUGAAGCUGCUGGGUUCCCUUUGUUUCCAUUCUCUACCUCCUCCUGGCUUUUAUGUGCACAGAUCUCUCCCCACAGCGCACAGCCAGGCAGUCUGUGCUGAGCAUCCCACCCAUGGGCCAAGGGUGGUCCAGACCCACCGCACCUUCAACCAGCAUCACAGCUGCACCACACCUGCUCUGAUGGGACACAUCCACAGCCUUAGCUUUCCUUUCUGCACCCUGAAG